GCCGGCCAGACUCCAGAGGUAUAUCGGACAGUUUACGAUUUUUGAAAAACCUAAAUCGAUCAUUGCUUGUUCAUUCUCUUCUAAAUCGAUAUAUUAGAAAUCCCUAAAUCAGUAAAUCCCCUCACAAGUCCCAAUCUUGAACCUGGUUGCUGUCGACGGAUUUCACAUUUUCCGAUUUGGUUUCUCAUUUUCAGGUUUGCUUUCUCAUUUUUAUGCUUUUACUUGUUCAAUGUUGAGGAAACGGUUAAACGUAUUGUAGAAUGAUUAGAAUUCUUAAAUCUUUUGUUUUAAAACCGGUUAUGUUUGCAUAGUUUUUUUGUAUAAUAACUAGAGUGUCCCCCCCAACCAAUGACUAUAAUUUCUGGAUCUGCUGAAUAUAUAUGUCGAUAUGGAAUUGAUUGCAGUUACCUAUCUUGAUUUGAUCUCUCACCCUUUCUCAUAUUUAUUAUAGUUUGUUUAAAAAUUCCAACUGUUAUUAGAAUGGAAGGAAGCAUUUAUGAAAGUUUGUUGAUGAUAUGAGGGAGGGAGAAUGAAUUUAUUAAAUAGAAAGAAAACCCAUUCCCAUCGAUCGAUCUUCGCGAUCAUUUCCUCCAUUUGGAAACGCAUGUGGUUUUGAACCAAGCAUCAAGUUGAGGAGUGUGGGUGGGUCUGGGUCAGUGUUAUCUCUGUCAGAAGUCAUAUCACUGUACUCUCAUCCCAUCCAUUCAUUCUAUCCUCAUUAACUCCCUCCUGCAUCUUCAUCCUCUAAUCAUCAAACCAUUUAGAUUACCAAAAUACCCAAAUAUGCAUGCAGAUUGCAGGUGCAGACCUACAUGCAUGCACUGAACUUACAAAGCUCUUGGGUUGAUUUUGGGUAGAUUUUGUAAGCUUUCUAAAUGGGAGAAGAAGAAAAAUCAGUUGGGCAGUUUGCCAGUUUUGCGUGACGGCAUGGAGAAAUGCGCCGUCCAAAAAUGUGAAUCGAUCGACUGACUGGUCAUCGGAGAAUUGGGAGUGGAUCGGAAUGGAUCUGAGUGGGACCGUGGGUGAUGGUGGUUAAAUGGCCGGUUGGAAGACACGACACCAGGAAUCAUGUGCCUGUGUGGGUUCCUCCAUUCCUCCUCCUACUACUACUAAUUGAACUUAAGCAGUUAAGAGACAUCCCAACAUGAUGAAUUAAGCACAGACACGACCCAGGCAAACUAUGUUGACGAAGAAGAAUCAAGUUGAACAUGCUGUAGCUUUUUUCUAGGUAGACAAGCCUAUUCACAGGUGAUGUGUCGGUGCCAUGUUUAGGAUGUUCGGUAGCUGUUCUUUGAGUUUUUUCUUUUCUUUUUUACCUUGAUAUUUCUUCUUUACUGCAAAUAGUGCGGCAAACAUCAAUUAAUCAAUUAAGAUCAAGCAAUCAUCACCACCAUCAUCAUCUCAAUUUCUACCCUAAUUGUUCGAAUCCCAAACUGUGUAUCGUCAUCUACCUUUCCUUGUUUUCCACUCAUCAAAGUACACUUGGUACUUAUAAGAAGAGAGGGACGAGGAAGGAAUAGAGAAGGAGGAAGAAGAAGAAAUAGAGAGAAUGGGGAGGGGAUGGAGGAGGGCGUUCUGCACGUCGUCGGUGAGGAGAGAAGAGUUAGAAGACAGGGAGGAAGACACACAGAGGACUCCCUCACCAAGAAUCAACCUCUUCUCCGGGAAAAGUGUUAGCUACCCAAAUACUCCUAGCUUGCAAUGUCACUCUCCCAGUGAAGAUGCUCUCGUCACUCCGACUCCCGCUUUGCGGUGCCGGACGGCGAGGUCCAGCACGGUGGGGAUUGGCGGACCUGGUGUUGGUAGCAGCAGCAGCAACAGCAACAGUAGUAAUAGUAGAACAACGCAUGUGGUUACGUCUUCGCCUCAAACGACGGUAAUUAAACAACAACGGUUUCAGUCUCCAUGCUCUCCGUCGAGAUUUUCUCUUCUGAAGAAAUCACUGAGCCUCAACAAGGUACUGUUCCGUCGUUGCCGACGGUCGUAUAUUUUUUCCUUUGUUUUUUGUAAUUUGGGUUUGUGAUUUGCGCUGCAGAGUCGGUGUGGGAUAUGUUUGGAGAGCGUCAAGGCAAUGCAAGGAACGGCGAUCUACAUAGCGGAGUGCUCACAUUCGUUUCAUUUCCAUUGCAUCGCGGCUCAUGUUAGAAAAUACCAAACACUCGCAUGUCCGGUCUGUUCGGCUACGUGGUGUCAGGCGCCAAUCCUUACUGUUAUUCCUGCUUCCGAUGACGGAAACUGUGUUCCGUCAGUUCCGCAACAGGAUCGGUCGGUGGUGGUUGUUAAACCGGGAAGAGUGGCGUCUGCGGAGAUGGCGACGACGCCGACGAUGCCGACGACACCAACGAAGACGAGUGGUAAUAAAGGAUACAGUGACGAUGAGCCGUUGCUUUCUCUUGGCGGGAAUUCUACAUCCCGGUUUAAUCCCAUACCGGAAGCAGAGGUUGAAGAUGAUGAAGAGGAGAAACUUUCUGAUAACGAAUUCCAAGGGUUCUGCGUUUCUAUGAAUAACCGUUCGCCUUCUCCGCCGGAUCGUCAGGAGUUCCAACAACGGUACAGAUCCACUAGUCGGAAUUCUUCUCUUUCCGUUGAGAUCACGGCGAAUUCCGACGUCGCGCUCCUUACGACGGGACGUAAUCAUGAUAAGUACGUCGUUGCUGUCAAAGUGAAAGCACCGUCGAUCACUACCGGCAACCGUCGUGCUCCGAUUGAUCUGGUCAUCGUCGUCGACGUCGGUGGAGCGAUGACUGGAUCCAAAUUGCAAAUAUUGAAGCGCUCUAUCCGGCAAUUGAUAAUUUUGCUGACUCCUUCUGAUCGUCUUUCUCUCGUCGCCUUUGCUUCCAUCACCAAACGACUUUUACCGUUGAAAAAAAUGACGCCACAAGGUCAACGUUGCGCUCGUCGAAUCGUUGACAGGCUUGUGUCAACCAAUAGCGCCGGCAGUAUCGUAGGUGACGCUCUGCGUAAAGCAACUAGGGUUUUGGAAGACAGAAGAGAACGUAAUCCAGUCGGAAGCAUCAUGUUGCUUGCCGACGGGCAGAAUAACCAGCAGCAUUCUCCGGUUAAAGCUCCCAACCACCACCACGCGUCAUCUAUUUCCUGCAGGUCUUCUUCGACUACGGAUUCUGCCGGCACCCGAUUCGCACAUAUCGAAAUUCCGGUUCCCUCUCAAAACGUCGAGAAAGACAGCACCACAGAACCACCAGAAAACGCUUUUGCGAGGUGCGUCAGUGGACUUCUCAGUGUCGUCGUCCAAGAAGUCACUCUUAAACUUAACAUCUCCGCCGGAGAAUUAUCUUCCGUUUGUUCUAUCGGAAGUCAACCGAUGGCUUCGACAAAUGACACCGGAAUUGUUCACCUCGGCGAUCUUUACGCCGAAGAGGAGAGAGAUCUUCUUAUCGAAAUUAGAGUCCCAUCUACUCUCGUACAAUUCGAUCUGAAUGUGAACUGCAAUCUGAAAGAUGCGGUGACGCAAGACGAGGUGGUGGGCGUGGACCAGUCACUACCCGUGACAUUACCUGGUGGAAUGAGGUCAGGCAACAAUCGACAGCAACGGAAGCAGAUGAGUGCGAAGGCGGAGAAGAUUCGAAACAUAUUUGUAACGACACGUGCGAUAACGGAGGCGAGAAGACUGACGGUAUCGAACGACAUGGAAACAGCGUUGCACCUUCUAUUAUCUGCCAGGGCGUUGCUGCUGCAGACGACGGUAGUGUCAACGGACGAGAAUUUGAAGGCGGUGGAUGCAGAGCUUGUGGAGUUACGAAGGAGAAGGCAGAGGAUUAGUAGAAGAGAAGAAGGGAGAAAUGCAUUUCUUCCGGAGGCGGUUGCGCCAGUGACAGAUGGAGGAAUCGGGGAGGCAUUGACGCCUACUUCAGCAUGGCGGGCGGCCGAGAGGUUGGCCAAGUUGGCGAUGAUGAAGAAAUCAUUAAACCGGGUUAGCGAUUUGCAUGGGUUCGAGGACGCCCGGUUCUAGAAGCAGAUCCGGAGGCGUCUCUGGUUUUUAUUCCGGUCUAGAUGUUUUUUUUUACAGAACCUCCGAAGCCCGAUUGGGGAUGAAUGAUUUUCCAUUUAUUGAAGGACUAUGGAAGAUAAAAUAAUAAUAAUAAUGGAGAAAAUAAUAAUAAUAAUGGAGAAAAUAAUGAAAAAUCGAAGAUUCGAAGAGGAAGGUUUCCAAAUUUUCAAUUUUCAAUUUCCACUUUCAAAAUUUCAAUUAAAUGAUGUAAAAAAUUUAUUUCGUCCCCUAAAUAGUAAAUACUAACGUAUACCGAAAUUCAAUUCAUAUACGGAAUUAACGAUACAUAAGAUAUUAAAUGUGAUCUUUGUCUAUUGAUGGGUUAUAUACUUAUAGAGUGAUAAGUGAAAACCCACUGUUUGAAAAUUAAUUUGAAAAUGGGUUAAAUUUUUUAUUUUAAUUAUUCAUUUAUUUUUAAUUUUAACUCAUAUAGUCAAGUGGUUCAUCAGAUUGGAUGCUCUAACAACAUUUUAAUUUUAGAUAUUAAAAUUAGGUGGAAUUCAACAUUUCAAACGUUAAAAAUUGCAUUGAAAAAACGGUAUUCACUAAGUUCCUAGAGCCUUUGCACGUGUUCAGAUUCAUUGACUGUAAAAAUCGACCAAGUUAUGAAUUAUAUUUGAUAUUAUAUUUUUGAUUGUGAAACGGUAAGCAUCAAUUAUAUUUGAUAUCGCACAUACAUUACAAGUAUUUAUAUUUUUUUUUUUGAUAAAUUACGUAAUAUAUAAGUAAAUAAAAAUUAAAAUACAUAUUGAGAUUCGAAUUUUAAAUUUUUAACAAUUCAGUUACCUUAAUAAUGACAGAUUGACAGUUACAACCCUAUGUUAAUCGAGUUGUGUAUUACAAGUAUUUAUAGAGAUAGAAAUUAAAAACUAAUUAUCUACGUAACAAAAAAUAAUUAUAGAACUCAAAUAGAAAUAGAAUACAAGUAUUCAUUAUAAGUACAAACUAGAAUCUAAUCAACCUACUCUAACAACUAUUAAUUAUAGAUAAAAAAAAUUUAGUUACAAACUUACAAUUGUAAACAAACAUUAACAAACAUCCACUUCUUCAGUAAACAACUAAAACAUAUACAUAAAUUUAAAAACAAUUGCAAAUUUUCAAACAAGUUUUGUAAAAAUAAUGGAAACAAUGGUGGUAACUGGUAAGUAAUGACACUGCAAUUUGAUGAUGCAAGUGAAGACCAUCAUGCAGUGUUACCGACAAGUAGUGAAGAAUGUGCCGGCAAGGAAUUUCUUGCUCUUAUUUUAGUUAGAAAAGGUGUGGGAGGAAUGCAGUACUGCUGAUAAAUAUUUAGUAUAGACAUGUAAAGACUAUAAAUACAUACCUCUAUGGAUAAAUAUCUCAACUAAAGGAAAGGCGCUUUUAACUUUAGUUUUUCUUAACUUUCUCUACCUUGGCUUUAAUCUUCUCUUUCAAUAUUUCAUUCUCGGUGUCUAAAUCGAACAUCCUGUUAAGGGCACUCAUAUUUUCAAUAGUUUCAAUAUCACCAUCACAUCUCAGAUGUUGCAAAGGUCCGUGAAGAAGUUUAUUUAUGAUGGCAUUACUCAUUUCUUCUACAGCUUUCCUGGUUUUCUUUGUUAGAGCUUCAUCUCCUAUUUUAUCCAGGCAUUUAAAAAGCUCUGCAUUCUUAAUUCUAUCUGCAUAUGCCCUC
Molecule: long non-coding RNA, 5660 nt
Filed under: Zostera marina
Lineage: Eukaryota; Viridiplantae; Streptophyta; Magnoliopsida; Alismatales; Zosteraceae
Description: long non-coding RNA (ZMAR_LNC001858)
Source: RNAcentral